AGUGAACGCUGGCGGUAGGCCUAACACAUGCAAGUCGAACGGCAGCACAGUAAGAGCUUGCUCUUACGGGUGGUGAGUGGCGGACGGGUGAGGAAUACAUCGGAAUCUACUUUUUCGUGGGGGAUAACGUAGGGAAACUUACGCUAAUACCGCAUACGACCUACGGGUGAAAGCAGGGGAUCUUCGGACCUUGCGCGAUUGAAUGAGCCGAUGUCGGAUUAGCUAGUUGGCGGGGUAAAGGCCCACCAAGGCGACGAUCCGUAGCUGGUCUGAGAGGAUGAUCAGCCACACUGGAACUGAGACACGGUCCAGACUCCUACGGGGGGCAGCAGUGGGGAAUAUUGGACAAUGGGCGCAAGCCUGAUCCAGCCAUACCGCGUGGGUGAAGAAGGCCUUCGGGUUGUAAAGCCCUUUUGUUGGGAAAGAAAAGCAGCAGGUUAAUACCCCGCUGUUCUGACGGUACCCAAAGAAUAAGCACCGGCUAACUUCGUG
This 492-nucleotide ribosomal RNA is filed under the name uncultured bacterium. RNAcentral's name for it is "partial 16S ribosomal RNA". It matches the Rfam family "Bacterial small subunit ribosomal RNA", at positions 29 to 507 of the family's 1533-position model. The record is from RNAcentral.